Molecule: long non-coding RNA, 1081 nt
Organism: Panicum virgatum (switchgrass)
Lineage: Eukaryota; Viridiplantae; Streptophyta; Magnoliopsida; Poales; Poaceae
Exons: 3
Source: RefSeq, a predicted model, not a curated record
AUUUAGAACGUUUAUACAGAUAUAGUUUCUUGUAUGUCGAUUUAGCAAACCAAUGCCUUAAGCCACUCAGCCAUACAUAUCUCAAUGACUACUAUUGGGUUCAAGGGUACGGUUGGAUAUAAAAAGUUAGACAAGAACUGAACAAACUAAGCCCGGGCACCUGGGGAUGGACCAUAUUAUGGUGGUGGUAAUCAAGGCUUAAAUAAAUUACAGAAAGAGACAUACAUAUCUGCAGCGUACGGAACUAACUGAAAUAUUGGUCAUGUUUCUUUUGAAGGGAAUCAUUCCCUCGUACUUUUGAAGGAACAAGGCCCGAACUUGGACUAAAAUUAGCAAUCUGUUUUUUUUUCAUUAUUCAUGGAGGCAGUCUGGGGCUCUGGGCAUAUCCAAGGUGCUGCACAAAGCUACCAAUAUUCCCUUGAAAAGAACUUCUCCACCAUGGGAUGUCAAAUCAAGCAACAUACUGAUGGAUGCUGAUUGGGUGCCUAAGAUCACAGAUUUUGGCAAUGGGGAAGAUUGUAGAUGAUGAGGAUGCAGAUUCAAUGGUGUCCGUUGUUGUUGGCACCCUCGGCUGCAUUGCUCUAGAGCAUGGAUACAACACAAGAUUGACCGAGAAGAGCGAUGUAUACAGUGCAUUUGGUGCAUAUCACUGCAUUGUGAUGAACUGUCUGGAUGAGGAGAUCAUGUACUGGCACGGAGAUGAGCAGUCAAAAGCAUUGGACUUAUUAGAUCUGGCGAUGUCAUGCACACAAGUAGCUUUCCAGUCCAGGCCAUCCAUGAGGGAGGUGGCAAGCACCCUGAUGAGAAUAGAUGAUGAAUAUAACAAAUGAAGAGCUGUUCUCAAUAUAGAUUCUGUGAGGUGGGGUGUUCAAAUAAUGAGCUAUAGAAGUAAAAUGGAUAACACAGUUGUACAGUUGUUUCAAGUGUGCUGUGAUUAUUUAUUCACUACUGAGCGAGACAUCGACAAACUACGAAGUUGUACAGUUUGUUUCAAGUGUGCUGUGAUUAUUUCUUCAAGACUGAGCGAGACAUUGACAAACUGCAACUAACAAGCUUGCAGAACAUAUUAUUUUUAUUGUCA